GAGUUUGAUCAUGGCUCAGAUUGAACGCUGGCGGCAUGCCUUACACAUGCAAGUCGAACGGCAGCACGGGAGCUUGCUCCUGGUGGCGAGUGGCGAACGGGUGAGUAAUGCAUCGGAACGUAUCCUGGAGUGGGGGAUAACGUAGCGAAGGUUACGCUAAUACCGCAUAUUCUGUGAGCAGGAAAGCGGGGGACCUUCGGGCCUCGCGCUCUUGGAGCGGCCGAUGUCGGAUUAGCUAGUUGGUGAGGUAAAGGCUCACCAAGGCGACGAUCCGUAGCAGGUCUGAGAGGAUGAUCUGCCACACUGGAACUGAGACACGGUCCAGACUCCUACGGGAGGCAGCAGUGGGGAAUUUUGGACAAUGGGGGCAACCCUGAUCCAGCCAUGCCGCGUGAGUGAAGAAGGCCUCGG
RNAcentral lists this ribosomal RNA (411 nucleotides) under bacterium enrichment culture clone ALO1_GLFRUDD03GBJ4K. RNAcentral's name for it is "bacterial SSU rRNA". It matches the Rfam family "Bacterial small subunit ribosomal RNA", at positions 9 to 420 of the family's 1533-position model. The record is from RNAcentral.